UACGGGGGGGGCAAGCGUUGUUCGGAAUUACUGGGCGUAAAGGGCUCGUAGGCGGCCAACUAAGUCAGACGUGAAAUCCCUCGGCUUAACCGGGGAACUGCGUCUGAUACUGGAUGGCUUGAAUCCGGGAGAGGGAUGCGGAAUUCCAGGUGUAGCGGUGAAAUGCGUAGAUAUCUGGAGGAACACCGGUGGCGAAGGCGGCAUCCUGGACCGACAUUGACGCUGAGGAGCGAAAGCUAGGGGAGCAAACGGG
Molecule: ribosomal RNA, 253 nt
Filed under: uncultured bacterium
Lineage: Bacteria
Description: partial 16S ribosomal RNA
Rfam family: Bacterial small subunit ribosomal RNA
Source: RNAcentral